This 411-nucleotide small RNA is filed under the name Pongo abelii (Sumatran orangutan). Its description in RNAcentral is "processed transcript". Lineage: Eukaryota; Metazoa; Chordata; Mammalia; Primates; Hominidae. The record is from RNAcentral.
GUUUUGCGUGGGAGGCGGUCCCAGGAUUUCAAGGGUCUACGGGCUCUUUUAUGGCGAAUGCAAUCCGAAAAGAGAGCAAGCUGUAUCUUCAGAGUCGUCUCCGUCUUUCCAAGAACAGAACAAAAUGAACAAGGGUAUUGUGCUCACAAACCAGAGGUGAUCUUCAGGCUGGAACAAGGAGAAGAACCAUGGAGACUGGAGGAAGAAUUUCCAAGCUGGAGCUUUCCAGGCUCCUCUUGGCUAUGGUGGUUUCCCAGACUUUCCUUGUUUUGGAUGACCUUGACAGUUUGGAGGAGUCCUGGUGAGAAGUCUGGACAGCUGAUCACCUGAAAGAGAGGAGCCAAGAAAACCAAUCUAAACAUUUGUGGGAAGUUGUAUUCAUCAAUAAUGAAAUGCUGACUAAGGAACAAG